This 497-nucleotide ribosomal RNA is filed under the name uncultured bacterium. Its description in RNAcentral is "partial 16S ribosomal RNA". It matches the Rfam family "Bacterial small subunit ribosomal RNA", at positions 28 to 507 of the family's 1533-position model. The record is from RNAcentral.
GAUGAACGCUGGCGGCGUGCCUAAUACAUGCAAGUCGAGCGAACGGACGAUAAGCUUGCUCUUUUGAUGUUAGCGGCGGACGGGUGAGUAACACGUGGAUCACAUUCCUAUAAUACGGGGAUAACUUCGGGAAACCGGAGCUAAUACCGGAUAAUAUUUUGAACCGCAUGGUUCAAAAGUGAAAGACGGUCUUGCUGUCACUUAUAGCUGGAUCCGCGCUGCAUUAGCUAGUUGGUAAGGUAACGGCCUACCAAGGCAACGAUGCAUAGCCGACCUGAGAGGGUGAUCGGCCACACUGGAACUGAGACACGGUCCAGACUCCUACGGGAGGCAGCAGUAGGGAAUCUUCCGCAAUGGGCGAAAGCCUGACGCAGCAACGCCGCGUGAGUGAUGAAGGUCUUCGGAUCGUAAAACUCUGUUAUUGGGGAAGAACAGAUGUGUAAGUAACUGUGCAUAUCUUGACGGUACCUAAUGAGAAAGCAACGGCUAACUACGUG